RNAcentral lists this ribosomal RNA (846 nucleotides) under Triticum aestivum (bread wheat). RNAcentral describes it as "partial small subunit ribosomal RNA". Lineage: Eukaryota; Viridiplantae; Streptophyta; Magnoliopsida; Poales; Poaceae. The record is from RNAcentral.
AUGUCCGGGCUGACCAUCAACUUCGAUAAGAGCGAAGUGCUGGUGCUGGGAUACCCACCGGAGGAGGCCCAGGACAUUGCGGACCGGCUUAAUUGCCGCCUGGGUUCUUUCCCCAUGACUUAUCUGGGGAUCCCCAUUAGUGACUCGCGCCUCACCGUAGCGGAUCUCCGCCCUUCCGUGACCCAAAUGCAACACCGGGUCGAGCCCUGGAAGGGCCGGUGGCUCUCGAAGGCGGCGCGGGUAAUCCUCAUCAACUCCUCGCUGGCUAGCCUCCUCUGGUUCCUCAUGAGCUUCUAUAGACUCCAUGAGACGCUUCACCAGGAGGUGGCCAAAUAUCAAUCCAGGUUUUUCUGGGCUGGCGAGGAGGAUAAGCAAAAAUACCAUAUGGUGAGCUGGCCGGACAUUUGCAAACCCAAGGACCAGGGAGGUCUGGGGAUCUUGUCCUCCCGUCGCAUGAACAUUGCUCUCCUAACCCGAUGGCUAUGGCGUAUCGCCAACGGAGAGGGCAGCCUCUGGCUUACCAUCAUCCAGAAUAAGUACCUCCAUGGACAACCUCUUGCUUUCUGCCAGCGCUCUGGGGGAUCCCAGUUCUGGCAGACUGUGAUUCAGCUCCUCCCCGUGCUCCAAAUUGGCACUUCUAUCUCGGUGGGCUCCGGGUCCUCGGCCCUGUUUUGGUUCGACCGCUGGCUUGGGGACUCCCCUCUGGCCGUCCGCGUCCCGGGCUUAUUUGCCAUUGCGGUUGACCCCAGGAUCUCCGUUGAGACGGCCCUUAUGGACUUAGGGCGUCUUGCCUUUAGGCGCACCUUUGGCCCCCAGGAGGUUGACGCGUGGGACGCCCUUCUAUAG